Non-coding RNA from Pelobates cultripes (western spadefoot toad), 2145 nucleotides. NCBI's taxonomy places the organism in Eukaryota, Metazoa, Chordata, Amphibia, Anura, Pelobatidae. The record is from the annotation of a GenBank genome assembly.
AUUUCAGCUAUGUAUUGAUAUCCAUAUCCAUGUUACAUCAUAAUUACUUGAACAUAAUGUAUACAUAUAUAUAACAAUAAUAAAUGAAUAAAAUAUUUACAAAUGUUGAUCCAAUAAACAAUAAAGCAAUCAAAAAUAUCUACCUGCUAUGGUACAGUCAUGUCUUUGUAGAUAACAACAAAAUUAAGAUUUCUAGAUAAUAACUGUGUAUCACUAUCAUAUUCCUAAUGAAGACACGUAUAAAAGUAUUUUCAUUCUCAAUACCUGAUAUUACUUAAGUACUAAUACAUGUAUUGCUUGUAUAUCCCAACGUAUUAUAUUUCCAUGAAUCAUAUGGUUUCUAGCAACCUUAAAAUCUUUAGGUCAUUUGUAUUCAUGAAUUACAUUCCUAUACCAUUAAUACCAUCUAGUGAUAAUUGUAUCAGUACUUUACAAUCAUAGUAUUUAAUUUGUAUAUUCAGUAGGCUCUCACUAACUGAAAUAUAUUAACACUACUUAUAAGUCUCAUAGUUUGCAAACCUUCAAAGGUUGUGUUGUUGUCAACCAUGAAGUUUUAUAAUAAUUCUUCAAAUAAUGUUCAUUGUGUUGACAAUACUUAUUGUUCUAGAAAUUCUCCACGCAGAAAUCUUUCUAUCAUAGAUUUGUUUUUGUUUACAUAAUUAUAAUUUUGACUAAAAUUCCACCUUGUAGUAACAAACUUUUCAUUCAAUAGAAACAUGGUUUACUUUAAAAUAACUUGGAAAUAAUAAUUUAAAUUCAUUGUGAUGACUUAUUAAUGUAAUACAUCUCAACAUAAAAGUAGGACUGCCCUAAUGUUACCUUAACAUUUGUUCUGACCAAUCCGUAUUCCUUAGUACACUUCAACUGACUAAAUUAAAAUAAAAUAAACAAAACUUGGGGUCAUACUGCCCAGAAACUUUUAUUCCUAGUCUGUGUCUAACAAACUCAGGGAAAUCAUAAAACCACUUUUAACAACUUAUUCAAUUCAUUGGAUACUUUCAUAUCCAGAAACCUAUUCUCCCUAGUCUAUACUUUUAUAGACUUAGGUCAAAUAUAAUUGUGUACUAAACUCAAUUCAAUUCCUCUUGGAUCUCUGAACUCUUAUAUCCAAGGCAUUCUUAAUGUAUACCAUUACUUAAUAUUAAUCAAUAUAAAUUAUCCUUCCUUAGUUUUCUUCCUUUUGUUACCAUUGUUUGUUUUACUUCACCUCGAUAUCAACAAAUUACUCAUUCUUAUGAAUCUAUGAAAUACUAUUGCACUCAUUCUUUGUAGUAUUAACUAACCAUGAUCCUUAUUUUAUCAACUUCAUAUUUUAUCUGCCUCUGAUACUUCUCAUCCUAUGUAUAGGUCAUAAUGUAAUAGUUCUUUUCAUAAUACUAUCCUAUCAUAAUUUUCUAAGUACUCUCUUUUGGUAUUAAUACUCAUAACUGUUAUAUAACUUUUCAUUGUCUGUUUUCUUUUCUGUUAAUAUUUAGGAAUAUAUAUUAGUGUCAAUAUUUUAUUUCUUUGUAAGUUUGUUAAUCUUCUGUAUCAAAUGAUCUCUGUAGAAUCUUCCAUCACAGUUUGCAGAUCAGUUGAAAAGUCUCUUUCCAACAGUCGAUGUCCAGUUGUCUAAAGGAAUUCUUUCCUAAUUUACUGCCACAUAGAUCUGUCACGCUUUACCUACAUUAAAACAAAAAAACGUGCAGCAUCAAUACAAUGGCUUACAAUGUUUAUAUCACUAUUAUUAUACAGUUUAACAUUUAAAUAUAUUGACUACACAAAACAUACUCAUUUCUUCUCAUGUGAUCUACCAUCUAGUGGUCAUUACAUUUAUGCCAUUUGAUAUAUAAUCUUUACAUUUCCUUUUGUAUUAAAAUCUUUCUGAACAUUUAAAUUUGCCAAACUUUUUAUUAAUCAUACCCCCCUUUAAAACUGUUUAAUAAUCUGGAGGUAUAACCUAAUCACAUAUAAGAUGUUACAACAAAAUAUUGUUUUCCACUAUACUUUAGCAAUAGCAGCCAUCUUGUCUGAACACUGGCACCAUUUUGUCACAUGAAACAAACUAUAAGAAACAUAUAUUGUUUCCUACAUCAAAUGUAUUUGUAAAUCUAGGUUUUAUUAUAUCAAAACUUUUGUCUUCUAUAUAGUCAAAACAUAUGUAUG